This 253-nucleotide ribosomal RNA is filed under the name uncultured bacterium. RNAcentral describes it as "partial 16S ribosomal RNA". It matches the Rfam family "Bacterial small subunit ribosomal RNA", at positions 524 to 776 of the family's 1533-position model. The record is from RNAcentral.
UACGUAGGGUGCAAGCGUUGUCCGGAAUCAUUGGGCGUAAAGAGCGUGUAGGCGGCCCGAUAAGUCCGCCGUGAAAGUCCAGGGCUCAACCCUGGGAUGCCGGUGGAAACUGUCGGGCUAGAGUCCGGAAGAGGCGAGUGGAAUUCCUGGUGUAGCGGUGAAAUGCGCAGAUAUCAGGAGGAACACCAAUGGCGAAGGCAGCUCGCUGGGACGGUACUGACGCUGAGACGCGAAAGCGUGGGGAGCAAACAGG